CCAGACUCCUACGGGAGGCAGCAGUGGGGAAUAUUGCACAAUGGGGGGAACCCUGAUGCAGCGACGCCGCGUGAGUGAAGAAGUAUUUCGGUAUGUAAAGCUCUAUCAGCAGGGAAGAAAAUGACGGUACCUGACUAAGAAGCCCCGGCUAACUACGUGCCAGCAGCCGCGGUAAUACGUAGGGGGCAAGCGUUAUCCGGAUUUACUGGGUGUAAAGGGAGCGUAGACGGCAUGGCAAGUCAGAUGUGAAAGCCCGGGGCUCAACCCCGGGACUGCAUUUGAAACUGUCAGGCUGGAGUGCAGGAGAGGUAAGUGGAAUUCCUAGUGUAGCGGUGAAAUGCGUAGAUAUUAGGAGGAACACCAGUGGCGAAGGCGGCUUACUGAACUGUAACUGACGUUGAGGCUCGAAAGCGUGGGGAGCAAACAGGAUUAGAUACCCCUGUA
This 444-nucleotide ribosomal RNA is filed under the name uncultured bacterium. Its description in RNAcentral is "bacterial SSU rRNA". It matches the Rfam family "Bacterial small subunit ribosomal RNA", at positions 331 to 792 of the family's 1533-position model. The record is from RNAcentral.